CAUUGUCUACUACUUCUGUUGUUUAAUUUUGAUUUUGUUGGUUAUCUUUUGAUUUAUUGUUUGACCUAACACUGUGAAGUUGGAGUGUGUAUUCAGUUUUCAGUUUAAUGUGUUUAUUGAAGUUGUUUUGGUGUUUUGAAGUUAGGGGUUUUACUUUAGAGUCUUGUUUUAUAGAUUUUGGGUUUUUUUUUUCUCUUCUGUAUUAUGUGUUUUAAGUCAUGGGUGUGUUUUGAUUUCAAUUUAGCGGUCUAUUGAUGUUGGUUUUAUGUACAGUCUCGUAUAAAAGUGAAUGAAUUGCAUAAAGAGUUGGGUUUAUGGCUUUGAGGUGGAUUUUGAGUCCUCUGUUGCUGUUUUAGGGAUUCAUUCAUCUGAAAGGAGAAGUUUUAGAUCUUAGACUUCAAUUUCAUCUAAGUGGAUUUUAAAUGCUUCUUUAAAUUGAACGGCGUAUAUGCAUGCAUACUCGGUUAAGUCUAACAUUUUAUGAGGAAAUGAUGUUGUAUUGAAGUAUUAUGUAUGGAUUUGCCUUAUUCUGCACAUAUGCACAAUCAUUAGUUUUCCCAAGAUUAUUUUCGUAGAAAGUUGGAAUAGUACAGGUUUGAUUUCUCUUUCCAAGCUUUAAAUUUAUGAUUUUUCUUGUGCGUGUAAAUUGCUUGAUGAAACGACUUAAAGAAAGGUAUACAGUUUUGCAACUGUUGUGAUGGGAAUGAAUCUUAUAGGUAAGUUUUUAAGUGCUCUGAAAUGGAUUUACUUAGACCAUUGUGACAUCACAACUAAAUUAAUAUGUUAGAGCGCUUCUGGUCUACAAUGUGCUUAUCAUUUCAAGUAUGUAUCUUUUGUUAAUAUGUGUACAACUAGAUUUUAAAUUAGCGGAGUCGCAAGUAUUGCUUUUGUCUAUUUGGUUUGGCGUAAUGUAUUUCUAUGCGACUUUGAGAUACAUAUAGUGUUUGAGAUAUUGUCAUUACUAGUUCUUACUUCUUAGUCACCAGUUCAGAGUACGUCGUCUAUUGUAGUGCGCUUUAUUGUAAACUUCACUUAUUUUUUAUUUUUUUGUAUUUAGUGAAUUUGUGUUACAUGUUUAAGAAGCUUCAAUAGACAUUUAGAUGUUUUUCAAAUCGCUUGUUUGAGCUCAAAAUGCCAUACUUGUUAGAGACGUUUCAUGACCUUGCCACUAUUUUUUGUAUUGGUUGUGGCAAUAAAAAAAUAAGUAACAUUUGCUAGUUUGACCUCCUUUUCUUCACCUGGACAAAAUGGAUGUCAUUUUUCCAUGGAAUUACAUGAGGUGCUAAUGAUAUUCAUGUUUAGAUAGAUUGGCAAGUGUCCCAAGUGGCUUUUACUUACUUGAAAUUUAAGCUACUGAAUUAUUGCACAUCAUCAACUUAUUUGCUUAUUUUCUUAAAUGACAUUUUCUUUAUAUAUGCAUCUCGAUGGGGGUGGGUGCUGCUGGCCAAUGGACUCCAUCCUAACAUCCUAAUUAUUUACCCACUUUAAUUUGAUAGCAGCAUGUGUAUGGAGGCAAAGUCGAUUAACUGCUUCAAACUGCUCUCAGCUUGCUUGAUUCUAUCAGAAUUUCAAGGAUCAAGAUGUGCUCAGUAAAAGAUGGCGAUGAUCAACCAUUAUGGGAGGAAAUUGCAGGUCAUGUUUCCAUAUAAGUUCAGUUACUUGUGGAGUAUUGAAGAGCUUCUGUUCAAUUCCAUGCUAACCGGCCGGUGUUCCUGUCUGAUUUGUUUUUGAUAGACACUCUCAAUCGCUCCUCGACACAAUGUUCACCUUGGAGGUCAUCCAAGGCCUGGUGACAAGCAGGAGGAGGACAUCAUAGUGACCAGCACCGGAGCAGCAUUUUGAGUAUCAUGUCCAUAUAAAGUGGAAAGCUUAUUACUUAAGUACAAGAUCCUGUGCAGAGGUAUCAUUUUGAAUAUCAUACUCCCAAUCUAACUCAUAUUAUCAAAACUUAUAUAUGGUAAUUGUUUUCUAGUUUAUAUACCACGUGGGGGUAGUACAGUUAUGUACUUGUUUUAGAUUGUAUUGUAGUGAAUCCAAUGGGUGGGUUGUGGUGGAUAAAGGAGCUAAACAUUGUUAGUAUUUAUCUUUGAAUCAACCAAAUAAUUGUAUGGUUUAUUAUAGUUCAUCUGUUACAUGAUUCAACGCGAGCAAUUCAUAUGAUUCAUAUCUUUAUUACAAACUGAUAUAUCUUGAUGGAUUGUUAUGACGAACCAUAUGUUCAUAUGAAAAA
Papaver somniferum (opium poppy) is the source of this 2230-nucleotide long non-coding RNA. RefSeq lists it as uncharacterized. Lineage: Eukaryota; Viridiplantae; Streptophyta; Magnoliopsida; Ranunculales; Papaveraceae. The transcript is spliced from 5 exons. The record is from RefSeq and is a predicted model, not a curated record.